GGAAGACCAAGGGUUCCUGUCCAACGUUAAUCGGGGCAGGGUGAGUCGACCCCUAAGGCGAGGCUGAAAAGCGUAGUCGAUGGGAAACAGGUUAAUAUUCCUGUACUUGGUGUUACUGCGAAGGGGGGACGGAGAAGGCUAGGCUGGCCGGGCGACGGUUGUCCCGGUUUAAGCGUGUAGGGGGAGUGACCAGGUAAAUCCGGUUGCUUAUCAACCCUGAGGCGUGAUGACGAUGCACCACGGUGCAGAAGCAGUUGAUGCCAUGCUUCCAGGAAAAGCCUCUAAGCAUCAGGUAACAUUAAAUCGUACCCCAAACCGACACAGGUGGUCAGGUAGAGAAUACUCAGGCGCUUGAGAGAACUCGGGUGAAGGAACUAGGCAAAAUGGUGCCGUAACUUCGGGAGAAGGCACGCUGGCGUUAGGUGAAAGGACUAGCUCCUGGAGCUGAAGCCAGUCGCAGAUACCAGCUGGCUGCAACUGUUUAAUAAAAACACAGCACUGUGCAAACACGAAAGUGGACGUAUACGGUGUGACGCCUGCCCGGUGCUGGAAGGUUAAUUGAUGGGGUCAGCCGCAAGGCGAAGCUCUUGAUCGAAGCCCCAGUAAACGGCGGCCGUAACUAUAACGGUCCUAAGGUAGCGAAAUUCCUUGUCGGGUAAGUUCCGACCUGCACGAAUGGCGUAAUGAUGGCCAGGCUGUCUCCACCCGAGACUCAGUGAAAUUGAACUCGCUGUGAAGAUGCAGUGUACCCGCGGCAAGACGGAAAGACCCCGUGAACCUUUACUAUAGCUUGACACUGAACAUUGAGCCUUGAUGUGUAGGAUAGGUGGGAGGCCUUGAAGUGUGGACGCCAGUCUGCAUGGAGCCAACCUUGAAAUACCACCCUUUAAUGUUUGAUGUUCUAACUCGGCCCCAUGAUCUGGGGUGAGGACAGUGUCUGGUGGGUAGUUUGACUGGGGCGGUCUCCUCCCAAAGAGUAACGGAGGAGCACGAAGGUUAGCUAAUCACGGUCGGACAUCGUGAGGUUAGUGCAAAGGCAUAAGCUAGCUUGACUGCGAGAGUGACGGCUCGAGCAGGUACGAAAGUAGGUCUUAGUGAUCCGGUGGUUCUGAAUGGAAGGGCCAUCGCUCAACGGAUAAAAGGUACUCCGGGGAUAACAGGCUGAUACCGCCCAAGAGUUCAUAUCGACGGCGGUGUUUGGCACCUCGAUGUCGGCUCAUCACAUCCUGGGGCUGAAGUAGGUCCCAAGGGUAUGGCUGUUCGCCAUUUAAAGUGGUACGCGAGCUGGGUUUAGAACGUCGUGAGACAGUUCGGUCCCUAUCUGCCGUGGGCGUUGGAAGAUUGAGAGGGGCUGCUCCUAGUACGAGAGGACCGGAGUGGACGAAUCACUGGUGUUCGGGUUGUCAUGCCAAUGGCAUUGCCCGGUAGCUAAAUUCGGAAGAGAUAACCGCUGAAAGCAUCUAAGCGGGAAACUUGCCUCGAGAUGAGUCUUCCCUGGGGCUUAAAGCCCCCUGAAGGAACGUUAAAGACUAUGACGUUGA
Molecule: ribosomal RNA, 1541 nt
Filed under: Yersinia pestis PY-102
Lineage: Bacteria; Pseudomonadati; Pseudomonadota; Gammaproteobacteria; Enterobacterales; Yersiniaceae
Description: bacterial LSU rRNA
Rfam family: Bacterial large subunit ribosomal RNA
Source: RNAcentral